This 171-nucleotide unclassified non-coding RNA is filed under the name Tremellomycetes sp. Its description in RNAcentral is "partial contains small subunit ribosomal RNA, internal transcribed spacer 1, and 5.8S ribosomal RNA". The stretch from base 1 to 46 matches the Rfam family "Eukaryotic small subunit ribosomal RNA", at positions 1786 to 1831 of the family's 1831-position model. Lineage: Eukaryota; Fungi; Basidiomycota; Tremellomycetes. The record is from RNAcentral.
AAGUCGUAACAAGGUUUCCGUAGGUGAACCUGCGGAAGGAUCAUUAGUGAACGCCUCCGGGCUAUCCAACCAACCUCUGUGAACUGUGGCCCUCGGGCCUUACAAACUUAGUGUCCCGAACGUCGCGAUUAGAAUAAAACAGAACUUUCAACAACGGAUCUCUUGGCUCUC